RNAcentral lists this ribosomal RNA (439 nucleotides) under uncultured bacterium. RNAcentral describes it as "partial 16S ribosomal RNA". It matches the Rfam family "Bacterial small subunit ribosomal RNA", at positions 338 to 795 of the family's 1533-position model. The record is from RNAcentral.
CCUACGGGUGGCAGCAGUGGGGAAUAUUUCACAAUGGGCGAAAGCCUGAUGCAGCAACGCCGCGUGAGCGAUGAAGGCCUUCGGGUCGUAAAGCUCUGUCCUCAAGGAAGAUGAUGACGGUACUUGAGGAGGAAGCCGCGGCUAACUACGUGCCAGCAGCCGCGGUAAUACGUCGGGGGCUAGGGUUAUCCGGAUUUACUGGGCGUAAGGGGUGCGAAGGGGGUUUCUUAAGUCAGAGGUGAAAGGCUAGGGCUCAACCGUAGUAAGCCUUUGAAAAUGGGGAACUUGAGUGCAGGAGAGGAGAGUGGAAUUCCUAGUGUAGCGGUGAAAUGCGUAGAUAUUAGGAGGAACACCAGUUGCGAAGGCGGCUCUCUGGACUGUAACUGACACUGAGGCACGAAAGCGUGGGGAGCAAACAGGAUUAGAUACCCGGGUAGUC